ACAGAAGCAGCAGCGGAAAUGGCCCCGCGCGGCAGGAAGCGAAGGUGCCACUGCAGAAGCGGGCAGUGCCCUCCAUGAGGUGCGAAACUGUCUUCAAGCUGACUCCUGAAUUCUUCAGUCCUGGAAAGUCCAGGGGCCUAGAUUCUCAACAAUGCGCACAAAGGCAGAGAUGGGGAUACCGGAGGAGCCUCCAGGAAUCAUGGGCCCAGAACCUGCUCUCUCCACAGCACCCAUGUCCAGGCCCACCUUCGGGUGUCCACACCCACUCUGAGCCCAUCUUUUGUACCACCUCCAUUUCAAACACCUGUUUACUGCCUCAGAACAGUUCCUGGAAAGCAUGGCAGGUGCCUUGGUGUCUCCAUGAUGGUCAGACUCGCCCUGCCUUGGACAUGUGUCAAGAGAUGGAGCAGCUGCUGCUUCACUCACAGGAAAGGUUGGUGUCACUGGAGCCUGUCAUCAGUGUGAGGUCUCGCCCCACCUCCAUGACCUUAACCACCUCUCUUCCAAACUUACUUUCAGCUGAGAGGCUGCAGUUCUGCCCCCAGAGAGCUCCUGCCUGAUCCUUCCCACCAAACACUGAGAAUGUGCACUUGGAAGUCUUGGCACUGUCGACCAGAGGCCUGGGAACCAGGGGGUAAAAACCAGAAAGCAGGCAGAGAGGAUAGUAGAGAGACCCAGGCUCCAAGGUGGGUGAACCAGACAGGGAGCAGACGGGAGGAUGCUUCAGAAAUCCAGGCAUCUGGGGAGUAGUUCCCAGUAGACUUUGGAAUGGAGGGUGAUGCAGAGACUAACGUGUUGGAGUGUGCAAACCAGAGACUAGUAAUAAGUGAAACUGAUGGCGAGAUCUUGACACCAGGGUGGGACACCCAGGACCGGAUGGGAGUUGAGAGUAGAACCAACAUUCAGGAACUAGGGAAUAGAAACCAGAGGGAGGCUGGAGGUGAGAAUCUCCCUGAAACCCAGGCACAUAUGGGAGAGAACCAAGAACAGUUAAGAUGUAAAAUUGAUGCAGAGACCCAAACACCUGAGUGGGAGAACCAGGAUAAGAAUGGAAGUGAGGAUGCUGUGGAGACCCAGACAUUUGAGAAGAAGGACAAGAAAGAGGCUGGAGAGGAGGAUGGGGAAGAGAUCCAGGCUCAAGGAUUGGGGAAGCAAGGCCAGACUGGAGAUGAGAAUGGUGAGGAGACCCAGACACCACAGUGGGAGAAACAAGAUCAGAUGAAAGGUGAUGCGGAUGUGGAAAUUCAGAUGGAAGAGGGGAGAAACAAGGAUCAGGUUGGAGGUCAGGAUGCUGCACAAACCCAAUCAUGUGGGAGGGAGAACGUGGGAGAAGUAAAAAAAGAGAAUAGUGUAGAGACCCAGGCCUUGGAUUGGGGAAAACAGGAAUGUGUUGGAAAUGGGAAUGUUACAGAGAUCCAGACACCAAGGUGGGAGAAGCAUGAUCAAGGUGGAAGUAAGAAAGCUAAGAAGACCCAAGCAUCUGGGGGAGAGAACCAGAAACAAUUAAGUCAUGAAAUUCAAGUGGGGUGGGGAAAUAAGGGCCUGAGAAGAGAUGAAGAUGCUAAGGAAACCCAGAUAGCUACCAAGAAGAAGCUCAGGGAGAUAAGAGAAGGAUUGGGUGGUGAUCCAGGCACUAUGGUGGGGAAACCGGAGACAAGUAGCAAGUGAAAUUUAUAGAGAAUUUGAGAUACUAUGUUGGGAGAAUCAGAACUGGAUUGGAGGUGAACAUAGAGCAGAAAUUCAGGCAUCAGAGAAGAGAGACCAAAGAAAGGAUGGAUGUGAGGAUGGCACAAAUAUCCUGGCACCCGAGGCUGAGAUCCAGGAACAAUUAAAAGGUGAAACUGAUGUGGAGACUCAGAGCAAUGAGCCACUUAGAGAAGAGGAUGGUACAGACAUUCAGUCACUAGGGAGGAGAGAGGUUAAAGGUGAGGAUGAUAAAGACACCCAGGAACUUGGGAGGAAAAAUCAGGGUCAGUUAGGAAAUGAAUUUAGUGGAAAGAUUCACAUACCAAAGGGGAAGAAUCAGGAACAUAUUAGAGGCGAAGAUGGUGCACAUACCCAGAUAUCUGAGUCAGGGAACUGGGGCAAAUUAACAAGUCAAAUUGAUGGAGAAAUGCAUUCAGCAGAAUGGAAGAAAGAUCAGCAGAUUGGAGGUGAGAAUGGGGCAGAAAUUCAGAUACAAGGGAAGAGAAACCUGAGAGAAGUUGGAGGUGAGGACGGUGUAAAGACCUGGGCACCUGGGAAAGAAACCCAGAGUCAGUUUAGAAGUGAUCUUGGUAGAAAGAUCCUUUUAUCAGAGUGGAAGAGCCAGAAGCAGAUGGGAAGUGAGAAUGGAACAGAAAUUCAGGCUCCAGUGGAGAGAAACCAGAGAGAACCUGGAGGUGAGGACGGUGUAAAGACUCAGAGACCUAAGAGAGAGAACGAGGACCAGUUAGAUAGUGAAAUUGGAGGGAGCCAUUCACCAGGGAGGAGGAACUGGGAGCUGAUUGGAAAGGAUGUUGCAGAAAAUCAGGCAUCAGAGAAGAGAAACCAGAGAGAGGUUGGAAACGAGGACGGUAGAAUGAUCUGGAGGCUUAGGGGAAAAAACUGGAGGCUUAGAGCGAAGAAACAGACUGUUAAAAAGUAAAGAUAAUGGAAAGACCCGUUUAUCAGAGUGGAAGAACCAGGAACAGGGUGGAGGUGGGAAUGAUGAAGAAAUUCAAAUACAGGGGAAGAGAAACCUGAGAGGGACCACAGCUGAUGAUGGUACAGAGACCCAGGCUCCUGCAGGAGAUGACCAGGGACAGUUAAGAGUUGAAAUUGCUGAAGAGAUCCAGGUACAAGGGCAAGGAAAUAAGAAUGACGGUGGAGUUGAGGAUGUUGCAGAACUCCAGGAUAUAGGAAGCCAGAGAAAGUGCACAGAUGAGGAUGUUGGAGAGCCUCGAGCACCAAGGGGAGGAAACAAGGAUCUGGUCAGAGGAGAGGAUGCUGUGAGGGACAGUCUCCAAGUCGACUGUUCUGGGAGUGAGAGGCCCACAGGCAGGAAGCACAGCCUACCAUGGCCUCCAGCCUUCACUGGCUAUGGAUGUGGGACCCGGGAACAGGAACAGGCAGUGGCUGUGAAUGGUUUCAUCUCUGCCCCCUGUCCUGAGAUGAAUCCUGUCCCCCACUGGGGUGAAGUCUUCCUGCUGGUGGGUGGGGAGGGAGAGCAUCUGGCCAGCCAGGGCACAACCCCUGCCAGGGAUCAUAGAGUGGGGAUCAGUCCAGCCUCCCAGCAGGCCCAACCUGAAUCCUGGAGAAGACGACAAAGGGACAAAGGGGUGGAUCCAGAGAAGGCCCCCAGCCUGACUCGGCAGUCCCAAAACCCUCCGUCUCUGACAGCUCCCUUGGGCAUGCCCUCUGCCUGCUCCUGUCUCCCGUGUGGCCCAGCCCCGGAAGCUGCCAUCAUUCUAGCGGGUCCUCCCACCGCCCUCACUGUCCUGCCCAAGGGGACAGGCCUCAAGAAGAGCAAACGACUGCUCCUGGAGUCCCUCAUGCGGAGGAGGAUUGCACACCUGAAGUGGGGUCUUCCCCGGCGGAUCCUGGAGUCCUAUUUCCUGUUUAACUUCUUAGGAUCUUGCUCAUUGACCCUUGCUGGGGCGAGGCUCUCUGGACUGAACACAGGCCAGGAGCUCCAAGCCCAGCAGGAAAGGUAUUGUGAGGCCCAAGGCUCCCCACCAGGCCUUAAGUCCCCAGAGAGGUUCCAGAGGGUUCAGCGCCCAGACAGAAAAAGCUCGAAACUUCCUAUACAAGCCAGAGCUCUGGAGAGGAACAGACCGCACAUGUCAGAGCCCAUUAAGCAUUUCCAUCCAGCCUGAAAAGGCCAGGAGAGUCAGGCCACCAGGGGGCGCCAGAGAACCACAGGAGAUCCAGGAAGCGCUUGCUAGGACCAAGCUCCCAGCUCCCAGGACCCCCAGGCCGGCAGCGGAGUCCAGGAGCUGGUGUGGCCCACAAAGGGUCGGAGAGCCUCCCAGUGAGAACAGUAGGGGCAGGAAAAUGAUCAGGUCAAGGGUCUCCCAGCUGGCAGAGAGGGCUCCCAGCAGAGUGAGGACUUCAUUCUCUAGGGCAGACCACGCCCACUGGAGGAAGGAAUGUACAUCCUGGGAGGCCUCUAAGCUCCCCAGACUCAAAUGCCAGCAGCUCACAUACUGGAGAAGAGGAAGCCUGGAAUCUACAGGGUGCAGAGGGGCUGGGCAGCAGCCUUCCUGCCAUUCUGCAGAACCUGUCAGCUUCAAAGGGAGGCUCCACUCUGCGGUGGCAAAGCUGGGCCUGACCCUUCUGGCCAAGAUGUCCUGGUCCCCACAGCUCGCCAAGCGCAAGCACUUGGCCCCUAACCUG
Homo sapiens (human) is the source of this 4356-nucleotide long non-coding RNA. Ensembl annotates it as chromosome 22 open reading frame 46, pseudogene. Its record names the gene C22orf46P. The record is from Ensembl. Lineage: Eukaryota; Metazoa; Chordata; Mammalia; Primates; Hominidae.